GAGGGCCCGGUUUCCUCUGGCUGCAAUAUUCAGAGUGGCAGUGGAAAUGGGGUCAUUG
Molecule: microRNA precursor, 58 nt
Organism: Monodelphis domestica (gray short-tailed opossum)
Lineage: Eukaryota; Metazoa; Chordata; Mammalia; Didelphimorphia; Didelphidae
Source: Ensembl